GGCUACGCCGGCAGAGGGGGAAGGGACGAGGGGCUUCCAACUAUCUCUGCCCAAAGCGGCUUUUCCUGGGCUUUUCGAGCACCACUGGUUCCUAAGACUACACAGGCCUCAGCGUCUCUUCCUCCCACCAAGAUUAAGUUAUCAAAUGAUUUCUGCCCACUGUGGCCGAAGCUUCCUGGGAGGAGAAGACACCAACCUGCGCCCCAGAGCCCUGAAGAUGGGAAGACACUUUGCUGGAAUCCAAGCCCAGGCUCACUUCCUGAGGAACUCGACAGAUAUUUCCGUUUGAGGUGCCACAUUUCUGAACUGUUCAAGCAAUGAGCAUCCUGCACUGAGGCUGGAGAUGCUCUCCGUUAGCAGUUGGCCCAAAGUAAGUAUUCAUAUUCAAGAAACUGUCUGAGUUUAUUCAUCUUUAAAAGAAAAGUCCGUUGAAGAACUUAGUUGCUGCUUUUAUUGAGAGA
Ailuropoda melanoleuca (giant panda) is the source of this 461-nucleotide long non-coding RNA. RefSeq lists it as uncharacterized. Lineage: Eukaryota; Metazoa; Chordata; Mammalia; Carnivora; Ursidae. The record is from RefSeq and is a predicted model, not a curated record. The transcript is spliced from 3 exons.